RNAcentral lists this ribosomal RNA (255 nucleotides) under uncultured bacterium. RNAcentral describes it as "partial 16S ribosomal RNA". It matches the Rfam family "Bacterial small subunit ribosomal RNA", at positions 524 to 776 of the family's 1533-position model. The record is from RNAcentral.
UACGGGGGGGGCAAGCGUUAUUCGUCAUAAUUGGGCGUAUAGGGUAUGUAGGCAGUAUUUGCAGUUUAAAAUAAAAUACCAAAGCUUAACUUUGGACUAUUUUUUACGUUUAUAAAUACUUGAGUUAAACUAAGGAUAGUAGUACUCUCAGUGUAGAGGUGGAAUUCGAAAAAAUUGAAGGGGACUACCGUCCGGCGAAGGCGACUAUCUGGGUUUAACUGACGCUGAUAUACGAAAGCAUAGGAAGCAAAAAGG